Non-coding RNA from Pelobates cultripes (western spadefoot toad), 512 nucleotides. The record is from the annotation of a GenBank genome assembly. NCBI's taxonomy places the organism in Eukaryota, Metazoa, Chordata, Amphibia, Anura, Pelobatidae.
CCGAACAGUCAGACCUCCCCUGUGUGAAGUGUGCCUUCAAUUACCCAUUGCAACAAUUUUUGCGAAUGGGUAAUUAACAAGCUAUGCAGUAGGUCCUUUGUUCUUGGGGUGGCCGCCAUUCGGGAAACGAACACGUGGCGGCGGCCAUUUUAAAACUGCGGUGUUUUGCCGUCGAGUGUCUGGAACCCAAAUCGGCACUCGACUAGGCGAACACCGCUGAGACCUCCACAAGCCCGGUCCGUUUGGUUCUAAACUACCGAACGGCCCCUCGUUCGGUAGACAGAAACAACCCAACGAGGGGAUUCAUGCGAACACUACCUGAUCUCUGUAGCCUUAGCCUUUCGUGCCAUUUAUUCCCUUAUACUGUGACCGACCGCAGGGCCCCAUCACAUGGAACCCAAUUCGGCUGUUCUCUCCAGCGCGGUCGGUCUUUUUAGUACCUCCAUGAAAUUCCUGAAAACCCCUGGUUCGAUCUGGGUGAUUUUUGGAUAUGUUGCUCACCCAGAUCAGGG